UGGGGAAUUUUUGUCAAUGGGGGAAACCCUGAACAAGCAACGCCGCGUGAAGGACGAAGACCUUCGGGUUGUAAACUUCUGUCGGAGGGGACGAAAGCAGAGUUGGUUAAUACCCAGCAUUGUUGACGGUACCCUACGAGGAAGCCCCGGCUAACUCCGUGCCAGCAGCCGCGGUAAUACGGGGGGGGCAAGCGUUGUUCGGAAUUACUGGGCGUAAAGGGCGCGUAGGCGGGCGGAUAAGUCUCUCGUGAAAAGCCCACGGCUCAACCGUGGUAUUGCGGGAGAUACUAUUCGUCUUGAGUCCGGGAGAGGUGUGUGGAAUUCCCAGUGUAGCGGUGAAAUGCGUAGAUAUUGGGAGGAACACCGGUGGCGAAGGCGACACACUGGACCGGUACUGACGCUGAGGCGCGAAAGCCAGGGGAGCAAACGGGGAUUAGAUACCCCGGUAGUCCUGGCUGUAAACGAUGAGCACUUGGUGUAGCGGGUAUCGACCCCUGCUGUGCCGAAGCUAACGCAUUAAGUGCUCCGCCUGGGGAG
RNAcentral lists this ribosomal RNA (537 nucleotides) under uncultured Acidobacteriota bacterium. RNAcentral describes it as "bacterial SSU rRNA". It matches the Rfam family "Bacterial small subunit ribosomal RNA", at positions 355 to 880 of the family's 1533-position model. Lineage: Bacteria; Pseudomonadati; Acidobacteriota. The record is from RNAcentral.